RNAcentral lists this ribosomal RNA (319 nucleotides) under Sutterella sp. Its description in RNAcentral is "partial 23S ribosomal RNA". It matches the Rfam family "Bacterial large subunit ribosomal RNA", at positions 2612 to 2925 of the family's 2925-position model. The record is from RNAcentral. Lineage: Bacteria; Pseudomonadati; Pseudomonadota; Betaproteobacteria; Burkholderiales; Sutterellaceae.
UAAAACGUCGUGAGACAGUUUUGUCCCUAUCUGCCGUGGGCGUUGGAAGAUUGACGGGGGCUGCUCCUAGUACGAGAGGACCGGAGUGGACUCACCUCUGGUGUACCGGUUGUCACGCCAGUGGCAUCGCCGGGUAGCUACGUGGGGAAAGGAUAACCGCUGAAAGCAUCUAAGCGGGAAACCUGCCGGCAGAUAAGUCCGCCUGGAGGCUUUGACCACCCUGCAGAGCCGUGCGAGGCCAGGACGUUGAUAGGUUGGAUGUGCAAGCGCUGUGAGGCGUUGAGCUGACCAAUACUAAUUGCUCGUGAAGCUUGAUCCU